GCUCAGCGCCCGACCUCCACCCUUUGUUGUUAAAACUACCUUGUUGCUUUGGCGGGACCGCUCGGUCUCGAGCCGGUGGGGAUUCGUCCCAGGCGAGCGCCCGCCAGAGUCAAACCAAACUCUUGUUAUUUAACCGGUCGUCUGAGUUAAAAUUUUGAAUAAAUCAAAACUUUCAACAACGGAUCUCUUGGUUCUCGCAUCAAUGAAGAACG
RNAcentral lists this unclassified non-coding RNA (212 nucleotides) under Aureobasidium sp. Wb3-ITS49. Its description in RNAcentral is "sequence contains 18S rRNA gene, ITS1 and 5.8S rRNA gene". The record is from RNAcentral. Lineage: Eukaryota; Fungi; Ascomycota; Dothideomycetes; Dothideales; Saccotheciaceae.